This 495-nucleotide ribosomal RNA is filed under the name uncultured bacterium. Its description in RNAcentral is "partial 16S ribosomal RNA". It matches the Rfam family "Bacterial small subunit ribosomal RNA", at positions 28 to 507 of the family's 1533-position model. The record is from RNAcentral.
GACGAACGCUGGCGGCGUGCCUAAUACAUGCAAGUAGAACGCUGAAGGAGGAGCUUGCUUCUCUGGAUGAUUUGCGAAAGGGUGAGUAACGCGUAGGUAACCUGCCUGGUAGCGGGGGAUAACUAUUGGAAACGAUAGCUAAUACCGCAUAAUAGCAUUUAUUGCAUGAUAACUGUUUGAAAGGUGCAAUUGCACCACUACCAGAUGGACCUGCGUUGUAUUAGCUAGUUGGUGGGGUAACGGCUCACCAAGGCGACGAUACAUAGCCGACCUGAGAGGGUGAUCGGCCACCAUGGGACUGAGAAACGGCCCAGAACCCUAAGGGAGGCAGCAGUAGGGAAUCUUCGGCAAUGGACGGAAGUCUGAACGAGCAACGCCGCGUGAGUGAAGAAGGUUCUCGGAUCGUAAAGCUCUGUUGUAAGAGAAGAAAGAGUGUGAGAGGGGAAAGUUCACACUGUGACGGUAUCUUACCAGAAAGGGACGGCUAACUACGUG